RNAcentral lists this ribosomal RNA (402 nucleotides) under uncultured bacterium. RNAcentral's name for it is "bacterial SSU rRNA". It matches the Rfam family "Bacterial small subunit ribosomal RNA", at positions 354 to 773 of the family's 1533-position model. The record is from RNAcentral.
GUUGGGAAUCUUGGACAAUGGGGGAAACCCUGAUCCAGCCAUGCCGCGUGAGUGAUGAAGGCCUUCGGGUUGUAAAACUCUUUCGACGGGGACGAUCAUGACGGUACCCGUAGAAGAAGCUCCGGCUAACUUCGUGCCAGCAGCCGCGGUAAUACGAAGGGGGCUAGCGUUGUACGGAAUUACUGGGCGUAAAGCGCACGUAGGCGGCUUUGUAAGUUAGAGGUGAAAGCCCAGAGCUCAACUCUGGAACUGCCUUUAAGACUGCAUCGCUUGAAUCAUGGAGAGGUUAGUGGAAUUCCGAGUGUAGAGGUGAAAUUCGUAGAUAUUCGGAAGAACACCAGUGGCGAAGGCGACUAACUGGACAUGUAUUGACGCUGAGGUGCGAAAGCGUGGGGAGCAAAC